RNAcentral lists this ribosomal RNA (487 nucleotides) under uncultured bacterium. RNAcentral describes it as "bacterial SSU rRNA". It matches the Rfam family "Bacterial small subunit ribosomal RNA", at positions 8 to 524 of the family's 1533-position model. The record is from RNAcentral.
AGAGUUUGAUCCUGGCUCAGGACGAACGCUGGCGGUGUGCCUAAAACAUGCAAGUCGAACGAGGCCUUCGGGUCUAGUGGCGAACGGCGGAGUAAUACAUAAGCAACGUGCCCUAAAGUCUGGGACAAACGCAGAAAUGCCAUAAAUACCGGAUGUGGUGAGGAGUAGGCAUCUAUUCUUCAUUAAAUGGUUUUUCGCUUUAGGAGCGGCUUAUGAUGCAUCAGGUAGUUGGUGGGGUAAAGGCCUACCAAGCCGACGACGCAUAGGGGGUCUGAGAGGAUGAUCCCCCCGAGAGGGACUGAGACACGGCCCUCACACCUACGGGUGGCAGCAGUUGGGAAUCGUUGUCAAUGGGGGAAACCCUGAACACGCGACACCGCGUGGUGGAUGAAGGCCUUAGGGUCGUAAACACCUUUUGCACGGAAAGACUUAGGACGGUACCGUGCGAAUAAGCUCCGGCUAACUACGUGCCAGCAGCCGCGGUAAU